Molecule: ribosomal RNA, 301 nt
Filed under: uncultured bacterium
Lineage: Bacteria
Description: partial 16S ribosomal RNA
Rfam family: Bacterial small subunit ribosomal RNA
Source: RNAcentral
CAGUCGCCGCGGGAAUACGUAGGUGGCAAGCGUUAUCCGGAAUUACUGGGCGUAAAGCGCACGUAGGCGGCUUUGUAAGUUAGAGGUGAAAGCCCAGAGCUCAACUCUGGAAUUGCCUUUAAGACUGCAUCGCUUGAAUCCAGGAGAGGUGAGUGGAAUUCCGAGUGUAGAGGUGAAAUUCGUAGAUAUUCGGAAGAACACCAGUGGCGAAGGCGGCUUACUGGCUCAUUCUAGACGCUGAGGUGCGAAAGCGUGGGGAGCAAACAGGAUUAGAUACCCCGGUAGUCCCUGUCUCUUAUAC